Molecule: ribosomal RNA, 1690 nt
Filed under: Escherichia coli
Lineage: Bacteria; Pseudomonadati; Pseudomonadota; Gammaproteobacteria; Enterobacterales; Enterobacteriaceae
Description: bacterial LSU rRNA
Rfam family: Bacterial large subunit ribosomal RNA
Source: RNAcentral
UGUGAGCUCGAUGAGUAGGGCGGGACACGUGGUAUCCUGUCUGAAUAUGGGGGGACCAUCCUCCAAGGCUAAAUACUCCUGACUGACCGAUAGUGAACCAGUACCGUGAGGGAAAGGCGAAAAGAACCCCGGCGAGGGGAGUGAAAAAGAACCUGAAACCGUGUACGUACAAGCAGUGGGAGCCUCUUAAUGGGGUGACUGCGUACCUUUUGUAUAAUGGGUCAGCGACUUAUAUUCUGUAGCAAGGUUAACCGAAUAGGGGAGCCGAAGGGAAACCGAGUCUUAACUGGGCGUUAAGUUGCAGGGUAUAGACCCGAAACCCGGUGAUCUAGCCAUGGGCAGGUUGAAGGUUGGGUAACACUAACUGGAGGACCGAACCGACUAAUGUUGAAAAAUUAGCGGAUGACUUGUGGCUGGGGGUGAAAGGCCAAUCAAACCGGGAGAUAGCUGGUUCUCCCCGAAAGCUAUUUAGGUAGCGCCUCGUGAAUUCAUCUCCGGGGGUAGAGCACUGUUUCGGCAAGGGGGUCAUCCCGACUUACCAACCCGAUGCAAACUGCGAAUACCGGAGAAUGUUAUCACGGGAGACACACGGCGGGUGCUAACGUCCGUCGUGAAGAGGGAAACAACCCAGACCGCCAGCUAAGGUCCCAAAGUCAUGGUUAAGUGGGAAACGAUGUGGGAAGGCCCAGACAGCCAGGAUGUUGGCUUAGAAGCAGCCAUCAUUUAAAGAAAGCGUAAUAGCUCACUGGUCGAGUCGGCCUGCGCGGAAGAUGUAACGGGGCUAAACCAUGCACCGAAGCUGCGGCAGCGACACUAUGUGUUGUUGGGUAGGGGAGCGUUCUGUAAGCCUGCGAAGGUGUGCUGUGAGGCAUGCUGGAGGUAUCAGAAGUGCGAAUGCUGACAUAAGUAACGAUAAAGCGGGUGAAAAGCCCGCUCGCCGGAAGACCAAGGGUUCCUGUCCAACGUUAAUCGGGGCAGGGUGAGUCGACCCCUAAGGCGAGGCCGAAAGGCGUAGUCGAUGGGAAACAGGUUAAUAUUCCUGUACUUGGUGUUACUGCGAAGGGGGGACGGAGAAGGCUAUGUUGGCCGGGCGACGGUUGUCCCGGUUUAAGCGUGUAGGCUGGUUUUCCAGGCAAAUCCGGAAAACCAAGGCUGAGGCGUGAUGACGAGGCACUACGGUGCUGAAGCGACAAAUGCCCUGCUUCCAGGAAAAGCCUCUAAGCAUCAGGUAACAUCAAAUCGUACCCCAAACCGACACAGGUGGUCAGGUAGAGAAUACCAAGGCGCUUGAGAGAACUCGGGUGAAGGAACUAGGCAAAAUGGUGCCGUAACUUCGGGAGAAGGCACGCUGAUAUGUAGGUGAAGCGACUUGCUCGUGGAGCUGAAAUCAGUCGAAGAUACCAGCUGGCUGCAACUGUUUAUUAAAAACACAGCACUGUGCAAACACGAAAGUGGACGUAUACGGUGUGACGCCUGCCCGGUGCCGGAAGGUUAAUUGAUGGGGUUAGCGGUAACGCGAAGCUCUUGAUCGAAGCCCCGGUAAACGGCGGCCGUAACUAUAACGGUCCUAAGGUAGCGAAAUUCCUUGUCGGGUAAGUUCCGACCUGCACGAAUGGCGUAAUGAUGGCCAGGCUGUCUCCACCCGAGACUCAGUGAAAUUGAACUCGCUGUGAAGAUGCAGUGUACCCGC